This 1484-nucleotide ribosomal RNA is filed under the name Mycocalicium subtile. RNAcentral describes it as "small subunit ribosomal RNA". It matches the Rfam family "Bacterial small subunit ribosomal RNA". Lineage: Eukaryota; Fungi; Ascomycota; Eurotiomycetes; Mycocaliciales; Mycocaliciaceae. The record is from RNAcentral.
UUGAGUUUGAUGAUGGCUCUGAUUGAACGCUAUCCUAAUGCUUGACACAUGCUAAUCGUACGUUAAACAUAAUAUUGUUUAAAGUGGUGUACAGGUGAGUAUAUGGUAUUUUGGCUACCUUUUAGCAAGGGAAAGAUCCCUUAUAAAAAAAAAGAAACUUUUAACAAUAAAGAGUUUUGCUUUGAGAUGUUAAUAAAUACCUCGGGUAAGUAGUAGAAAAGGUAAUGUCUUAACUAGCUUAAACCCCGUAGUCGUGACUGAGAGGUCGAUCGACCACAUUGGGUCUGAAAAAACCCCAAUACGUAUAGUACAGCAGUGAGGAAUAUUGGUCAAUAGCCUAACGGCUGAACCAGCAAUUUGGGGGAAUGUAUAGUCUAAUCUAAUUGUCAUUUAAUUUAUUAAAUGCAAUAUCGACUACGUCGAAUAAAGUUCUAGAUAGAAUAAUGAUAGUGACAAUUUUCUAUCUAUAUGUCUUGACCAAAUCACGUGCCAGCAGUCGCGGUAAUACGUGGAAGACUAGUGUUAUUCAUCUUUAUUAGGUUUAAAGGGUACCUAGACGGUAUAUUUAGCCCAAAAAAGGGGACGUGUAUACUAGAGUUUUAUAUGAGGAGGGGAGAACUUUUGGAGUAGAGAUAAAAUUCUGUGAUAACAAGAGGACUGGUAUAGGCGAAGGCAACCUUUUAUGUAAAAACUGACGUUGAGGGACGAAGGCUUGGGUAACGAUUAGGAUUAGAUACCCUAGUAGUCCAGGCAGAAAAUUAUGAAUGUCAUAGACUUGGCAAAGUCCACUUCUAUAAAUGAAAGUGUAAGCAUUCCACCUCAAGAGUAAUGUGGCAACGCAGGAACUGAAAUCAUUAGACCGUUUCUGAAACCAGUAGUGAAGUAUGUUAUUUAAUUCGAUGAUCCGCGAAAAACCUUACCACAAUUUGAAUACGCAACAAGCGCUGCACGGCUGUCUUCAGUUAAUGUCGUGAGAUUAUGGUUAGUUCCAUUAAUUAACGUAAACCCUUUCUUUAUUUAUUAUAAUAAAGUCGUCUUCCUAUAGUAUGGGAAAAAUGAAUGGGACUAAGACAAGUCAUCAUGGCCUUAAUAUUGUGGGCUAUAGACGUGCCACAUAAGCCUUUACAAAGGGAUGCAAUAUUGUGAAAUGGAGCUAAUCCCCAAAAAAGGAUAUAAAAUGGAUUGUAGUCUGUAACUCGACUACAUGAAAAAGGAAUUACUAGUAAUCGUGAAUCACCACGUCACGGUGGAUUUAAUCUCAGUUGGGUACUAACCACUCGUCAGGCGCUGAAAGGGGUAUGUGCAAUAAGUUUGGUUAUAUAUAUACAUGUAAUAUAUGCAAUUAGGCAUAUAUGUGUUUAUGUAUAAUCUUCGUAUGCGUGACGCUAAUUGGUGUUAAGUCGAAAUAUGGUUCGUGUAGUGGAAAUUGCACGGGAUUUAUUAAAAUUAACAAUAAAUAAAAAUAAUUUUUUUUAUAAUAUUUU